RNAcentral lists this long non-coding RNA (1067 nucleotides) under Sus scrofa (pig). RNAcentral describes it as "lncRNA (ENSSSCG00025062088.1)". Lineage: Eukaryota; Metazoa; Chordata; Mammalia; Artiodactyla; Suidae. The record is from RNAcentral.
GAGAUAUACCAUGUUCAUGGAUCAGAAAAAAUCAAUACAAUGAAGACAUCAGUUCUCCCCAAAUUGCUACAUAGAUAUGAUGCAACCCCAAUCAAAACCUCAGCACGACCUUUUUUGAGGACAAACUGACAAGCUUAUUCUAAAACUCAUAUGAAAUGAAAUGCAAGCCAGGCAGGGGCAAAUAUUUGAGAACCAUGGAAACCACGCUUCCUGGCUUGGAGUUUUUCUCGCAGGCACUGAGAAGGCAUUUCAACAUUAAGCAGAAGGACGACAUGACUGACCAGUGUUUUAGCUACAUCACACUGAAAUCCCAUGAGCAGCUUCCCGGCGGAUGCAGGAGCAGAGCAUGGACUGGGUGGCAGUGAGCGUGUGCAUUACCUACACCCUGAGAAGGAAUGAGGAGAUGGGCAGCCUCCUCUGGAGAGCAUCUUCAGGAGGAUGCAGGCUUCCAAGAAGAAAGAUGGAGAGAAGCUCUGUACACAGAAGGCAAGUUCAGCAAAUGUUCACAGCUUCCAAGGGCCUCCCUCAUAAAAUGUCCAUGCUAAGUGAAACAGUUUCUUCACCUUGAGAAUCCCAGCUGUUUAUCAUGGUGAAAGUCCAGUGAAUCGGGAGCCCAAGAGAAAACUGCUCUGCACACAGAAUUUAGCAUUGACAGCUCUCACAGUCACUUUCAUGCACUUUGUACUCACAAAAGUAACCCCCUCGGGGCUGCGUGAACUCUGAGAAGUUCUGUGUUUCCAGCAGGGCCCAGAUUAAGCAGUUUUUGAUUAUUCAAUUGCUGACUGAUUUGAUCUGAGCUAACUGUUCAGGCUUAGUUGCCUCACUCAGAAAAGCCCUUGGGACAAAAACCUGCGUCUACUCUGCACAGGCCACAAAACCUACAAACAGAAAUUACAACAGGCCUUGAGGUACGCUCAGCACACUCCUGCAGGCCCACGGCUCAUUCUAAAGUCUGAAUAUACAAACCUGAAAACGUCCCAAGAAUGCAGUGAACGCUCUGAAGUUUGCCGGUAUGUUGACAAAACCCACCCCUAAUAAAUACCUGCCUCCCUGAGAAAGGUUUGCCA